Molecule: small nuclear RNA, 70 nt
Filed under: Cervus hanglu yarkandensis (Yarkand deer)
Lineage: Eukaryota; Metazoa; Chordata; Mammalia; Artiodactyla; Cervidae
Source: RNAcentral
GUGCUCGCUUCGGCAGCACACAUACUAAAAUUGGAACGAUACAGAGAUUAGCAUGGCCCCUGCGCAAGGA